RNAcentral lists this ribosomal RNA (460 nucleotides) under uncultured bacterium. Its description in RNAcentral is "partial 16S ribosomal RNA". It matches the Rfam family "Bacterial small subunit ribosomal RNA", at positions 338 to 795 of the family's 1533-position model. The record is from RNAcentral.
CCUACGGGCGGCAGCAGUGAGGAAUAUUGGUCAAUGGACGAGAGUCUGAACCAGCCAAGUAGCGUGAAGGAUGACUGCCCUAUGGGUUUUAAACUUCUUUUAUAUGGGAAUAAAAUGUUCCACGUGUGGGAGUUUGUGUGUGCCAUAUGAAUAAGGAUGGGCUAACUCCGUUCCAGCAGCCGCGGUAAUACGGAGGAUCCGAGCGUGAUUCGGAUUUAUUGGGUUUAAUGGGAGCGUAGGUGGAUUGUUAAGUCAGUUGUGAAAGUUUGCGGCUCAACCGUAAAGUUGCAGUUGAAACUGGCAGGCUUGAGUACAGUAGAGGUGAGCGGAAUUCGUGGUGUAGCGGUGAAAUGCUUAGAUAUCACGAAGAACUCCGAUUGCGAAGGCAGCUCACUGGACUGCAACUGACACUGAGGCUCGAAAGUGUGGGUAUCAAACAGGAUUAGAUACCCGAGUAGUC